GUCCCUCAGAUGCAGUGCAAGAGGGGCAUAUGCCUCGGAGACUAUGUUCCCCAAGCAGCUUUGUGAGCCUUGGGAGACCAGCUCAGGAUGAAGCCUUGUCUUCUGUUAUCCAUUGCUGCCUAUCUACAGGUAAUAUUCCAACAUUGCCACAAGGUUCGAGGGUGACACAUCUCACACAUGUACGUGAACAACCAAUCAUCAUGCUCAUGAACUACAAAAGGAUCAGGUAUCUUUUUUAUAUAAUUAUUUCUUCUCCUUAGGUUAGAUACCUAGUAGUGGGAUUGCUGGAUCAAAUAGUAGUUCUA
Molecule: long non-coding RNA, 305 nt
Filed under: Homo sapiens (human)
Lineage: Eukaryota; Metazoa; Chordata; Mammalia; Primates; Hominidae
Description: HSALNT0319581
Source: RNAcentral